This 390-nucleotide ribosomal RNA is filed under the name uncultured bacterium. RNAcentral's name for it is "bacterial SSU rRNA". It matches the Rfam family "Bacterial small subunit ribosomal RNA", at positions 39 to 421 of the family's 1533-position model. The record is from RNAcentral.
GAAUUCACUAGUGAUUCAGGCCUAACACAUGCAAGUCGAGCGGUUGAGGUAGCUUGCUACCGAUGCAGCGAAAGACGGGUGAGUAAUACAUGGGAAUCUGCCUGGUAGUGGGGGACAACGUUUCGAAAGGAACGCUAAUACCGCAUACGCCCUACAGGGGAAAGGGGGGGAUCUUCGGACCUCUCGCUAUCAGAUGAGCCCACGUCGGAUUAGCUUGUUGGUGAGGUAAAGGCUCACCAAGGCGACGAUCCGUAACUGGUCUGAGAGGAUGAUCAGUCACACUGGAAUUGAGGGGCGGUCCAGACUCCUACGGGAGGCAGCAGUGGGGAAUAUUGGACAAUGGGCGCAAGCCUGAUCCAUUCAAAGGGGGUGUGUGAAGAAGGCCUUAGG